AUGAUUAAAAUUAAAAACAGAAGAGAGAGAGAGCUAGAGAAAUAUAUUAAGAAGACAACGCCUCCACCAUUUAACCAUGGAGAUUGGACUCCGAUAUCGAUAUUAGUACAUUCGGUAUCGAUAUUGCUUCCGACGAUAGAAAAUUUGCAUAUGCUCCAUAACGCUGCCGCCAUUCAUCCAUGGAGCUUGGACUCGGCAUCGACGCAACUAGCAACGACAUCACCUCUAAUGAUGGCAAAGGUGUUCAUCGCCUUCGACGAUGGCAAAGGUGCAUAUGCUCUCUAA
Non-coding RNA from Vicia faba (fava bean), 285 nucleotides. The record is from the annotation of a GenBank genome assembly. Lineage: Eukaryota; Viridiplantae; Streptophyta; Magnoliopsida; Fabales; Fabaceae.